Molecule: small RNA, 73 nt
Filed under: Bizionia paragorgiae
Lineage: Bacteria; Pseudomonadati; Bacteroidota; Flavobacteriia; Flavobacteriales; Flavobacteriaceae
Description: Flavo-1 RNA
Rfam family: Flavo-1 RNA
Source: Rfam by way of RNAcentral
CCGCAUUAGGGAUUGAUGCGGCAUCCUUUUUUACUUUUUUGUAAAAAAGAUAUAGCCGAAAGCCCGACUUUUU